This is a long non-coding RNA of Engraulis encrasicolus (European anchovy), 744 nucleotides long. RefSeq lists it as uncharacterized. Lineage: Eukaryota; Metazoa; Chordata; Actinopteri; Clupeiformes; Engraulidae. The record is from RefSeq and is a predicted model, not a curated record. The transcript is spliced from 4 exons.
UUGUCGUCGGGGCGCCGACACAAAAAGUAGGGGUGGAUUGUAGCAGGUUGGCCCUGCCAUCACGUUAGUGUGUGUGAUUGACAGCUGCUGAUUGACAGCAGUGGGCGGGCAUAAUCUAUUUAUAUGAAUGGACCCUUGCUUCCUGUCUCGUUUCCGCCACACAUUGUUUUGGCGUGAGCCUGGGCUGCGUUUGUUGCCGAGGGGCCGCAGAUGAACCGUGAGGUGCGGCGUUCACUCAGCACUUGUGAUCGCUUGGGAGCGCACUGAUAAACUCCAAGGAGCUAGGAGCUGUGUGGACACUGGUUGGCCUGCUCGUGGAGGUAGUUGGUGUGGCGUGGUGAUCCUCGAAAGCGUUGUGCUGGUGACUCGCGUGUCUGAGCCUUCAUCCGCGGCCCCUCCGGCACGAACCAACCAGUGUGUCUGUGCCUACGGGUCUGUCGGCUGCUGUUUCGCCUGGGACAAUUUGGGUUUGAGUCUCCCCUUGCUUUGCACCUGCAGCGCUGUGGCUUGGCCGUGCUUCGCUGGGUACGGGGAGGAAUUGCGCUUGUAGCCACGCUUGCCCCUUCACCUCGCUUUGCCUGCACGGAGCGUGCAUGUCUGUCGCAACUGUCCGAGGGUGCACGGUUUCAGUGGCUCCGCCUGUUUUUAACCCCUUUUGUGCUGUGCGUUAUUUAUUUUCAUUUCAUUUAUUUCUGCAUGCUUAUUUGUUUGCUGUGCUUCUGCAUGCUGCUUACUCUGCUAGGU